Molecule: ribosomal RNA, 732 nt
Filed under: Setosabatieria sp. 86L30C15
Lineage: Eukaryota; Metazoa; Nematoda; Chromadorea; Araeolaimida; Comesomatidae
Description: bacterial SSU rRNA
Rfam family: Eukaryotic small subunit ribosomal RNA (bases 315-732)
Source: RNAcentral
UUUUCCCCCCCCCUCGGGAUGUAGCCGUUUCUCGGGCUCCCUCUCGGGAGUCGAACCCUUUUUUUUCCGUUACCCGUUACAACCCUGGUAGGCACAUAAACACCCAUGGACGGUGUUAGGCACCCCCUAAAAGUGUUGCCGGGAGACCUGCAUGAGUAGUUAUUAAGAGUCACCAACCAGGCGAACCCCAUUGUUUUGUUCUAAUAAAUGCCUCUCCCCGAAGUUAGAGCUUCAAGGCGUGUAUUAGCUCUAGAAUUACCACAGUUAUCCCAAGAGAUCAGAGAUCCAAGAAAGGACGGCUGUUGUAUUGACCCUUCGCGGCUUUACCGUAGUACGGCUUCUGCUUAGUUAGAUUAAGCCAUGCAUGUCUAAGCAGAAGCCGUACUACGGUAAAGCCGCGAAUGGCUCAUUACAACAGCCGUCGUUUCUUGGAUCUCUCGAUCUACUUGGAUAACUGUGGUAAUUCUAGAGCUAAUACACGCCUUGAAGCUCUGACCUUCGGGGACGAGCGCAUUUAUUAGAACAAAACCAAUGGGGUUCGCCCCUCGGUUGGUGACUCUGAAUAACUACUCCGAUCGCACGGUCUCGCACCGGCGACGCAUCUUUCAAGUGUCUGCCUUAUCAACUGUCGAUGGUAGUUUAUGUGCCUACCAUGGUUGUAACGGGUAACGGAGAAUAAGGGUUCGACUCCGGAGAGGGAGCCCGAGAAACGGCUACCACAUCCAAGGAAGG